This 402-nucleotide long non-coding RNA is filed under the name Populus tremula. Its description in RNAcentral is "long non-coding RNA (PTRE_LNC002759)". Lineage: Eukaryota; Viridiplantae; Streptophyta; Magnoliopsida; Malpighiales; Salicaceae. The record is from RNAcentral.
UCCGCUAGAAACCUCCAUUUGAUCAAUAUUUUUAUAGACUCGACAAUAUAAAGAAACAAGACUCAAUGUAUACACAGUGCCACUAUGUUGGAUCUUGAAUUAACAAAAUUGCCGAGCAAUGUAACUUAAAGAAACAAAACUUAGAUUUCGAUUUAUAGGGCAAUAAGAGAAACAUGGAAAAGACAGAUCGGAUGGUGAAAAAACCCGGGAACUUGCAAAAUGAUUGUUGGAAUUGGAGGGAAUUAAUAGUGAGGGAUUCUGAUACUGAAAGAGAAGAGUCGGUGGGUUCUUGGCGUGAAUGGGAUGGUGAUUCAAAAGCGUGUGUGUGUCAUAGAUGCAGGAUGCUGGCAUUUUUUCUAAGGUGUGCAGUUGAAGAUGCCACCAUUGGAGCUUUUUUAGCUG